UCUCCAGUGGUCUAGUGAUUAAGGAUUCAGCAUUGCCACUGCUGCAGCUCAGGUUCAAACCCUGGCCUGGGAA
This 73-nucleotide transfer RNA is filed under the name Sus scrofa (pig). It matches the Rfam family "tRNA". Rfam says of the family: Transfer RNA (tRNA) molecules are approximately 80 nucleotides in length. Their secondary structure includes four short double-helical elements and three loops (D, anti-codon, and T loops). Further hydrogen bonds mediate the characteristic L-shaped molecular structure. tRNAs have two regions of fundamental functional importance: the anti-codon, which is responsible for specific mRNA codon recognition, and the 3' end, to which the tRNAs corresponding amino acid is attached (by aminoacyl-tRNA synthetases). tRNAs cope with the degeneracy of the genetic code in two manners: having more than one tRNA (with a specific anti-codon) for a particular amino acid; and 'wobble' base-pairing, i.e. permitting non-standard base-pairing at the 3rd anti-codon position. The record is from Rfam by way of RNAcentral. Lineage: Eukaryota; Metazoa; Chordata; Mammalia; Artiodactyla; Suidae.